Long non-coding RNA from Alosa sapidissima (American shad), 1495 nucleotides. RefSeq lists it as uncharacterized. NCBI's taxonomy places the organism in Eukaryota, Metazoa, Chordata, Actinopteri, Clupeiformes, Clupeidae. The record is from RefSeq and is a predicted model, not a curated record. The transcript has 2 exons.
GGAGCCUGAGGAGCCAGUGGGCAAAAGUAAAGAGUCAUCAAAGCAGUCUGAGGUAAGAGACACUGGCCCACACAUUUCCCAGGUAGCCUACCCCACACAUUCCCCACACAUUCCCCAGGUAACCUACCCCACACAUUCCCCACACAUUCCUCAGGUAGCCUACCCCACACAUUCCCCACACAUUCCCCAGGUAGCCUACCCCACACAUUCCCCAGGUAGCGGCGUCAUCAAAGCAGACUGAGGGUAGGCUACCACACCGUGAUAAGGUAGCCCCUCCUUUUCCCCAAUCCGCCUGACCCUCCCCGCAACAUGUAAACUGAUAUUGAGCAGUAUUUUUCUCCUACACAUGCACAAACACUGACAGCUUACACUUCCUGGUCACGCACAAAGUCUUUCCCCCAUGACACUGGAGCACCCUGACAUUGGCUAAUUCACUCCCUGAUUGGCUAAUUCACUCCCUGAUUGGGCAGGGGUGGUUUUCAUCCCCAUUUUAAAUAAUUGUAUGUAUUGUAGUGUUAUUAUUUAAUUAUGAAUAUUUAAUUAGUAGUGAUCUGUGUGUUAAGUGAUGUUUCCAAUGUAUGUUUAAGUUCGUCAAUGUCUGUAUUGUCAAUGUGUAACUGUGUUGGAAAGAUCCCCUGCUGUGUUGGUAUCUACCAAUUUAGGCCAAUUGGUUGACUUUAUUAAAGCCAGGAUUUUUCUGCUAGUAGAGGCUUGAAGUAUUGGAGAAGCAGGCCAUGUGGCAGCUUGCUGUGAGGCUGCCUAAGUAUUGAACAUUAAUUGCUAUUGCUGUUGUCCUCGUCGCUACAUCCUGUGUGGAUUUGGACCGCAAGUACCAUAUUUUCAUACCCACACACUCCCCCGAUAGUCAUCAAAGCAGUCUGAGAGAAACGUGAUUCCUCUGAGAUCUCAUUCCUCGGAAGGACACACACCUUUAGAGCCGAGAUCUCCCUCCACUGGAUGCCUGUGGUGCCAGAGAUCAUAACCUCGUGUGUGGCCUCCUGCUCAGCGCCAUCCUCCACGUCCCCCUGCACCCGGGAGUCGCUCAGGUAAGAGCCGCUGCUGUCGCCGUCCUUCUUCAGUGCCAGGCGGACCGCGACGAAUGUCUCUGUGCCGAAGCGGGGCGCCAGGUUCUCCAGGGUGGCCAGGUACUUGUACAUGACUUCCUGGGGGCCCAGCUUGCCCUGGGCCACGGUGUGCUGCUGGAAGCUCCGCACGAACUCUGCGAAGACGCGGCGGAUUCGCAGCUUGGUGAGGAAGUUGUCGCGCGAGAUGUGCCGGGAGAAGGAACGCGGGAUGCAGCGCAGGUAGCUGGGAAGAAUGGGUGACACCAAGCAGACACCAGUCAGUGCUUUUUCCAAACAGAGCUCCGUAAAGUAAAACCAGAAUUGCAAUUAAUUUCAAUUCGAAUUGGUACUGUUUAGUCUAGUUCCAGUGGAUUCAUUUGAUGAUUUGAACUGACUGAAAACAUUAAAAAUGCUGUGUUGGAAACAUUAAA